UCCUGACUGACCGAUAGUGAACCAGUACCGUGAGGGAAAGGCGAAAAGAACCCCGGCGAGGGGAGUGAAAAAGAACCUGAAACCGUGUACGUACAAGCAGUGGGAGCACGCUUAGGCGUGUGACUGCGUACCUUUUGUAUAAUGGGUCAGCGACUUAUAUUCUGUAGCAAGGUUAACCGAAUAGGGGAGCCGAAGGGAAACCGAGUCUUAACUGGGCGUUAAGUUGCAGGGUAUAGACCCGAAACCCGGUGAUCUAGCCAUGGGCAGGUUGAAGGUUGGGUAACACUAACUGGAGGACCGAACCGACUAAUGUUGAAAAAUUAGCGGAUGACUUGUGGCUGGGGGUGAAAGGCCAAUCAAACCGGGAGAUAGCUGGUUCUCCCCGAAAGCUAUUUAGGUAGCGCCUCGUGAAUUCAUCUCCGGGGGUAGAGCACUGUUUCGGCAAGGGGGUCAUCCCGACUUACCAACCCGAUGCAAACUGCGAAUACCGGAGAAUGUUAUCACGGGAGACACACGGCGGGUGCUAACGUCCGUCGUGAAGAGGGAAACAACCCAGACCGCCAGCUAAGGUCCCAAAGUCAUGGUUAAGUGGGAAACGAUGUGGGAAGGCCCAGACAGCCAGGAUGUUGGCUUAGAAGCAGCCAUCAUUUAAAGAAAGCGUAAUAGCUCACUGGUCGAGUCGGCCUGCGCGGAAGAUGUAACGGGGCUAAACCAUGCACCGAAGCUGCGGCAGCGACGCUUAUGCGUUGUUGGGUAGGGGAGCGUUCUGUAAGCCUGCGAAGGUGUGCUGUGAGGCAUGCUGGAGGUAUCAGAAGUGCGAAUGCUGACAUAAGUAACGAUAAAGCGGGUGAAAAGCCCGCUCGCCGGAAGACCAAGG
Molecule: ribosomal RNA, 877 nt
Filed under: Shigella sonnei
Lineage: Bacteria; Pseudomonadati; Pseudomonadota; Gammaproteobacteria; Enterobacterales; Enterobacteriaceae
Description: partial 23S ribosomal RNA
Rfam family: Bacterial large subunit ribosomal RNA
Source: RNAcentral